This 1495-nucleotide long non-coding RNA is filed under the name Papio anubis (olive baboon). RNAcentral describes it as "lncRNA (ENSPANG00000044737.1)". Lineage: Eukaryota; Metazoa; Chordata; Mammalia; Primates; Cercopithecidae. The record is from RNAcentral.
GAGAGGGGCAGGGGUCUUCAGUGUGGCUAAGGGCCACCGCCUGCAGCACCUGGGAUGGAGCUGCCAACUACCCCCAUCCUCAGAGCUGAAGUCUCCUAGCGUUUGGGCCUUGACUUUCUUAAUGCGAGAUACAGCUCAAAGCUUGCGGUCACAUUUCUGUCUUCGGGUGCUAAAACUGCAUUUCCUUCUUGAGUUCCAUGUUUCAGGGAGAGAAUCAUGAAGAAACAGAAUAAAGGACUUUGUUGCAAACUGCAGUCAUAAAGAAGGACAUGUGGGUGAGGCUGGGAGCCCGGGGAGCCUGGUGUCAGCUCCAAUCCGAGCAGCGGGGCCAGCAGGAAGACCCGGCCUCUGUGAGUGUGUGGGGUGCUUUGGAGAUGGGGGUGUGUUUAGACUUUGUCUCUUACAUGUUAUUCCCAUGGCAGGCUCUGCACCAGUCCCGGCACUGCCUGCAGCAUCUGAUUCUGCCAGUGCUGCCCACUUAGCUUUUGGAUACAUGGAAGUUCUGCAUCGUGGUUCCUGCUGAAGAAGGGAGUGUGUGGCUGUGUAUGUGUGUGUGCACAGGCAUGCACACACCUGUGUUUACAUGAACACAUAUGAGCAAGUGCAUGUGUAUACGCAUGAACACGUGUGUGCACUGAGGUACAUGCAUGUGUGCAUUCGCCUACACGUACGUGUGUGUGUGCACAUGGUACACAUGUGUGAUUGGCAAGCGUGUGCACACAUAUGUAUAUGGGCACAUGUAUAUGCAGGCAUGUAUGCACGUUUGGGCACAUAUAUGUACAGGCAUGUAUGCACAUGUGGGUGUGCAUGUAUAUUAUAUGAACACACGUGUGCAUCCAUUUACAGGCAUGUGUGCAUGCAUGUGUGUUUGGCGUGUGAUAUUUGUUACAUAUAUGUGGCCACACACGGAUACAGGUAUGUGUACACACGUGCACGCACACUUGCCCAGAUACAGACCUGCACGCCUUCCUGCCCUCCAUCCCGCCUUUGGGGUCUCCAUCACCGCUGCUUGUUGAUAGGUCUUGAAAAGGUCCAGGCUGGCGGGCAUGUCCUGCUGCCCAGGUGGGCAGGAGUGGGAACAGCAUAUCUGGGCCUUCUCCAGGUUUCCUCUGUCAGCCCGGAGGAGGGCAAUCACGACGCAAUUUCUUACAAUAAUGAUACCUCACAUUGCAUAAUCGUUCAUGUCCUUCAAAAUAUUGAAAAUCGUAGCACAGAAAGUUUGGAGGGUUCCACAGCAACUCAGCACCACGAAGUCGGCCACGGCCCCACACGUCGACGGCUCGGUUGGGUGACGUGGCCGGCCCCGGGGACGCCUCUUUCUGCUGACGUUCAUCCACAUCCACAUCCAGAGCUUCUCGGUGUCCAGGAGAUGCUGCCAGCUCCUGGCCCCAGGAUGGGUGUGAGGCUGUGGCCCCGGGGUGAAAAGCUACAUCUCCCACGGCAGAUAGCCACCAUCAUGGCUGUUAGAUGCCUGUGGACCGGACGAUGCAUCUAA